GUGAGGAAUAUUGGUCAAUGGGCGAGAGCCUGAACCAGCCAAGUCGCGUGAGGGAAGAAUGGUCUAUGGCCUGUAAACCUCUUUUGUCAGGGAAGAAUAAGCGGCACGUGUGCCGUGAUGCCAGUACUUGACGAAUAAGCAUCGGCUAACUCCGUGCCAGCAGCCGCGGUAACACGGGGGAUGCGAGCGUUAUCCGGAUUUAUUGGGUUUAAAGGGCGCGUAGGCGGGAUGCCAAGUCAGCGGUAAAAGACUGCAGCUAAACUGUAGCACGCCGUUGAAACUGGUAACCUCGAGACGAGUCGAGGAUGGCGGAACAAGUGAAGUAGCGGUGAAAUGCUUAGAUAUCACUUGGAACCCCGAUAGCGAAGGCAGCUGUCCAGACUCGAUCUGACGCUGAUGCGCGAGAGCGUGGGUAGCGAACAGGAUUAGAAACCCGAGUAGUCC
Molecule: ribosomal RNA, 444 nt
Filed under: uncultured bacterium
Lineage: Bacteria
Description: bacterial SSU rRNA
Rfam family: Bacterial small subunit ribosomal RNA
Source: RNAcentral